CGGCAACAGCUCAAAUUUGAAAUCUGGGUCUUUCAGGCUCCGAGUUGUAAUUUGUAGAGGGCGCUUUGGUGUUGGCUGCGGUCUAAGUUCCUUGGAACAGGACGUCACAGAGGGUGAGAGCCCCGUACG
RNAcentral lists this ribosomal RNA (129 nucleotides) under Biatriospora sp. RNAcentral's name for it is "partial large subunit ribosomal RNA". It matches the Rfam family "Eukaryotic large subunit ribosomal RNA", at positions 99 to 227 of the family's 3401-position model. Lineage: Eukaryota; Fungi; Ascomycota; Dothideomycetes; Pleosporales; Biatriosporaceae. The record is from RNAcentral.